UGUACUUAAUUUUAUUUAAUUGUUGAAAUUCAAUUUUUUAUUGGGAAUAUUUUUCAUUUAGAAGCUUUCAAGAUUCCUUAGUGAAAUUAUUUUCAUUUCCCCUGCAGAAGGUGGAACUGGAAUAUUCAGAUCCAUAUUUUCAUGGUGACAUCCUUACCAACAGCAAGAAUGAUGCUUUUCAAUAUGCGCUGAAUGAAAUCAGGGAUGUGUUGAAGGUGGUGUGUCAAGUUCAUUGUUUACGUUUAGCUCAAACAUGGGUCCCGGGCUGGUUUUGCAGCAAUGGGAUCCAUGGUGGUACCUUUGAUGUGAGCAGCGAAGGACGAGCCUUGUGCACAAUUAAGACAGCGUCCUAUUUAGCAGGGGAAGGGGAGUGGCCCUAUGGAGAGGAUUAUACUUUCUUGGAUGCCUGUCAAUCUCAUCACCUACAAAAGGGGCAAGGGGUUGUUGGGAGGGUGCUUUCAUCUCAUAAAUUGUUAUUCUGCUCAGAUAUAACAAGAUUCAGCAUAGCCGACUAUCCCCUAGCACAUUAUGCAUGCAAGUUUGGAUUGACCGGUUGUUUUGCAAUUUGCAUCAACAAAGGCCAUGGAGACCUGCAGACCUCAUUGAGCAUGAUAUUGGGAACAAUGAUGCAAUUAUUGAAAGGUUUUAAGCUUGCUACUGGAGAAAAACUGAGACAAGAUUUAUCUAUUGAAGCUAUUGAUUUUUGCAAUGAUGAGAAACUUGAUUCUAUGCAGACACCCCAAACUAAUAGAUAUUCCACUACGCUCCCCUCACAAAAUAUAAGAGAGAUGACCAGCUGGAUUCAUCAAAUCAGGAAUCUAUGGAUGCCAUAAACAAUGGAAGGAAUGAUGUUAGUGCGGAGCAAAGCAACAUACAUGGUACUGAUGUACAGAAGAAAAGCAAAACAAAAACGUAGGAGAGGGAACACAGAAAAGGUGGAAUUCCAAUUAGUUUGGAGGAUCUCCAACGUCAUUCUGGAAUGAAAGUUGAAGAUGCUGCGAAUAGCCUUGGCAUUAGUCGAUCUACAUUUAUGCGUGUCUGUAGAAAAUAUGGUAUCGGCAGGUGGCCACCUCGCAAGGGACUCAGGAAUAAUCAUUCCCCCUCUGAUAAAACUGUCCGAGGUGUUGAUCAAGAAAAAAUUUCAGAAUGCAGUUAGAGAGACAGUCCGAGUUCUAAUCAAGCCGUGCCUACUGUUGGUCGAACAAAGCAACAUAUUAAGGCAACCUAAGA
Camellia sinensis is the source of this 1230-nucleotide non-coding RNA. The record is from RefSeq and is a predicted model, not a curated record. NCBI's taxonomy places the organism in Eukaryota, Viridiplantae, Streptophyta, Magnoliopsida, Ericales, Theaceae.